Molecule: ribosomal RNA, 468 nt
Filed under: uncultured bacterium
Lineage: Bacteria
Description: partial 16S ribosomal RNA
Rfam family: Bacterial small subunit ribosomal RNA
Source: RNAcentral
GACGAACGCUGGCGGCGUGCUUAACACAUGCAAGUCGAACGGAAAGGCCCUGCUUUUGUGGGGUGCUCGAGUGGCGAACGGGUGAGUAACACGUGAGUCACCUGCCCUUGACUUUGGGAUAACUUCAGGAAACUGGGGCUAAUACCGGAUAGGAGCUCCUGCUGCAUGGUUGGGGUUGGAAAGUUUCGGCGGUUGGGGAUGGACUCGCGGCUUAUCAGCUUGUUGGUGGGGUAGUGGCUUACCAAGGCUUUGACGGGUAGCCGGCCUGAGAGGGUGACCGGCCACAUUGGGACUGAGAUACGGCCCAGACUCCUACGGGAGGCAGCAGUGGGGAAUAUUGCACAAUGGGCGGAAGCCUGAUGCAGCAACGCCGCGUGCGGGAUGACGGCCUUCGGGUUGUAAACCGCUUUCGCCUGUGACGAAGCGUGAGUGACGGUAAUGGGUAAAGAAGCACCGGCUAACUACGUG